CAGUGAGUGGAUCGGUUACAGAAAGAAAUGUUAUUUCAUCUCAGAGGAGGAGAAAAACUGGACAUCUAGUCAGACCUUCUGUGCUAAGAAUGGAUCUUUGCUUGCUGUUUCUGAAAACCAGAAAGAAAUGCUAAGCGCUUGAAAAUGGAAGUUUCUUGGAUUGGAUUACGGAAGAAAGGGGAAAGCUUCUACUGGGAGAAUGGCAUUGCCUUGAAGAUGGACUUAACCUCAGGACCAGCAAGUAUUAAGGCAGAAUGAACCUUUGCCUGACACCCCCUAUCACCAAGAUGCAUAGACUGGACUUCACAAGAGAAAAGGAAAUGAUACAGCUUUAUAUAUAUGCAUGUAAACUGCUUUGAAGUUUUCUUUCUGCUGAAAUAAAAUAGGAUGUGCAAAAUAUCUUUAAGAAACA
RNAcentral lists this long non-coding RNA (412 nucleotides) under Apteryx owenii (little spotted kiwi). RNAcentral's name for it is "lncRNA (ENSAOWG00000001472.1)". Lineage: Eukaryota; Metazoa; Chordata; Aves; Apterygiformes; Apterygidae. The record is from RNAcentral.